RNAcentral lists this long non-coding RNA (816 nucleotides) under Mus musculus (house mouse). Its description in RNAcentral is "long non-coding RNA chr3:53732303-53733119". The record is from RNAcentral. Lineage: Eukaryota; Metazoa; Chordata; Mammalia; Rodentia; Muridae.
AGAGGCCUAUGAGUCAAAAGCUUGGUUCCAUGGUGGUGUAAUUAAGAAGAGGUUUAGAGUUGAGGCUCUGUGGAAAGUCAUUACGUCAUUGUGUAGGACGGUGAAUGACCUCAGGGGUCAGUAGCUCUCUGAUCUCUUCCUCUCUGUCUUCUUUCUGCUUCAGUGCACCCUCCACCCACCAGGAAAGCAGGUUUCUUCUGCCUGAAUCUCUUUGCUACUUUGCCACACACCUAAAGCUAACGGGCCGAUCUAUUUAGGGCUAUAACCCCUAGAAGUCCAAGUGAAAAAGUAAUCGUUCUUCUUUAUAACUUGAUUAUCUCCUGUGUUUUGUUAUAGUGACAGAAAGCUGGCUAACAUAAGAGUCACUGAAGACUUUCAUCUUUCCUCUAAUAAAAUGGAGUCAGACAUUGUGCUGGCUGGUUUUGAGGGUCAACUUGACUGACAAGAAGCUCAAGCCAGAGAGGAGGGAGCCUCAGUUGAGGAAAUGCCUCCAUGAGAUCCAGCUGUGAGACAUUUUCUCAUUAGUGAUCAACGAGGGAGCCUAAUAAGGAGAGUGCUGUCCCUGGUCUGGUGGUCCUGGGUUCUAUGAGAAAGAAAGCUGCUAAGCCAUGUUAAACAAGCCAGUUACCAGCACCCCUCCAUGCCCCCUGCACAGCUCCUGCCUGCAGGCUCCAGCCCUGCUUUAGUUCCUGUCCUGACUUCCUCCAAUGAUGGACCAUGAUCUGGAAGUGUAAGCUAAAUAAAGCCUUUCCUCCCCAACUUCCUUUUUGGCCAUGGUGUUUUGUUCCAGCAGUAAAAUCCCCAACGAAGACAUCA